GGAUGCGAGGGUGGUAUGUUGGUGACAUCUGUCACCCCACUGAUGGCCAGGAUUGAGUCAGCAGUUCUGGCUAGCUAGGCAGGUGUCCCCUUUCCCCUUCUCCACUCCAAGUGCAUUGUCCCUCCCAAAGCUGGGCAUUUGGGUCAAAGGGGAUGACCAUCCCCACUAUAGGAGGACUGGUCUUUGGCCAAAGAUAUACAAAUUGCUGCACUCGUCUGCUACAAGCUCCAAACAAGCUCUGGAGAUGACAUGGGGACAUGAUAUGCUUGCCUUCAUACAGCUUAGAGGCUACGUGUUAUGUGGCUCCAGAAG
Molecule: small nuclear RNA, 312 nt
Filed under: Ochotona princeps (American pika)
Lineage: Eukaryota; Metazoa; Chordata; Mammalia; Lagomorpha; Ochotonidae
Description: 7SK RNA (ENSOPRG00000020983.1)
Rfam family: 7SK RNA
About the family: 7SK was discovered as an abundant small nuclear RNA in the mid-70s but a possible function has only recently been suggested. Two independent studies have found that 7SK RNA binds the CDK9/cyclin T complex (known as elongation factor P-TEFb).
Source: RNAcentral